CCAGAGAGGCUGCGAGAAUCAGCAGGUUUUAACCYGGGAGAGAUGGACAGAAAGAGCAGGUUUUGACCCCAAAGCGGUGGAGAGAAAGAGCAGCUUUUAACCCCUGGGAGACUGGCGGAAAAGGCAGGUUUUAACCUCAAAGCAGUGGGAGGGAAACGGCACUUUUUAACCCCAGAGAGGCUGCGAGAAACGGGAGGUUUUAACCUGGGAGGGAUGGACAGAAAGAGCAGGUUUUAACCCCAAAAGGUGGGGGGAAACGGCAGAUUUCACCCCAAAGCGGUGUAAGGAAACGGCAGCUUUCAACCCCAGGGGGUUGACAGAAAUGGCAAGUUUUAACCCCAAAGAGAGGGGGGGAAAUGACAGUUUUUAACUCCAGGGAGACUGGUAGAAACAGCAGGUUUUAACCCCGAAAAGGAGGAGGGAAAGAGCAGAUUUCACCCCCAAAAGAUGGGGGGAAACAGCAGCUUUUAACCCUGGGGAGAUUGACGGAAACGGCAGCUUUUCACCCCAAAGACAGAUUGACGGAAACAGCCGCUUUUCACCCCGGCACGGCCUCAGGAAACAGCAACUUUGGACCAUUUCCUCUCAUCCGGCUCCUUCGGAUCGUUAUCGCCUUUAUUAAUUAGCCRACCGGCUCCUGUUAAACCCCCGGAGCUAAUUAAUAAACGCCGACUCGUCGCUUUUCCCCCUAUCGCUAAUUUUGCGCAGCGGCCGAAUUGCCCUUUUUCUCCGUUUUCCCACUUUUUAGCCCUCUGUGAAGCUCCUUCUCUCCGCAUAAAAAAAAUUCAAUUUUUUUUAAAAAUUUUCCCCCCUUGCUGCUUUUUUCCCCCCCUGGUUUGUCCCAAAUUUGGUGUUUCCGCAAUGCUUUCCUGCGGCUGGCCGUGCCCCGGAGCCUCCGGGAGGGAUUUGGGGUCUUUCAAGCUUGAUUUUUUUUAGGCUUUGGGGAUUUUUUUUUUAGGUUUUCCCGCACCAGCCGUCGCGAUGGAGCAGGUGGAAAGUGAUGGGGAAAGAGGGGAAGCGGCUCCAUCCGUCUCGGAGGGCUGGAGCCGGCCGGCCUUGGAGGAAACAGGAAUGCCGCUUUCGGAGGCCGCCCAUGAGCAGUCGCCCGGCGAGAGCCGCUGCCCCGACCCUGCCGGAGCGGAGUCCCAGGUAUGGCCGGCUGCUCCGCGCCGUGGGAAUUUUCCCCCGGCUCCGAGGCGCUGGAGCAAAGUUCCCCAACGUUGUUCCGGUGGGGACGACGCUCCUGCUCCCGUCCCCUUUGGUGGCGGCUCACUCCCAAACUCCUUCCCACAGGAAGGCCAGGAUGCUGGGAGCGACUGCGACGACCGCUCCUGGGUGGUCCUGUCCGGCACUCCAGGUACAGCGGUGGGAAUAAUGUGGGA
Molecule: long non-coding RNA, 1382 nt
Filed under: Apteryx haastii (Great spotted kiwi)
Lineage: Eukaryota; Metazoa; Chordata; Aves; Apterygiformes; Apterygidae
Description: lncRNA (ENSAHAG00000002312.1)
Source: RNAcentral